Molecule: long non-coding RNA, 1372 nt
Filed under: Triticum aestivum (bread wheat)
Lineage: Eukaryota; Viridiplantae; Streptophyta; Magnoliopsida; Poales; Poaceae
Description: long non-coding RNA (TAES_LNC001426)
Source: RNAcentral
CGAUCUUUAUCAUCUUAGAGAUGCAUGCACUCAAUAAGAACACACUUCCACCUGACCUUACUCAUAGAUGCUCCGUAGGCAAUCACAAUCUUCAUCAGCUAUAGAAAUUGAGUGACUAUAAGUUAGGAAAUCAAAGAUUGGAUAUGCAGUGUUUCAUGUAGCUGGCAUCACCUGUGUGGGAUUGUUUUUGUUCUACCGUUGUAAUGACUACUGUAGAUUUGGCUCGACGCCGUUUGUCACGUAGGCUUUGUAAUAUACCUUGUCUAUGUUGCUCAUACUGGCCACUUUCCCUCCGUCUCUUGAGUGCUUGUUUUGCUUUUGUAUAAUAAGUGUUAAUUAGGUACAAGACAACAUGAGCAAAAGUGUUUUGUCAAUCAGAUGUACGGUGUAAGUGUCAAUUAAGUAUGAUAGAUAAUAUGAGCCACAAUUGAGUACCAUAUGGAGUGCUGCAUCUGUAGGCUUGAAGUGGCGGUCGUAACACAGUCGGUUGGGAGGACUCAAUGUCAGAGUCAAUAUUAUGGACAUUUUCCUUGUUAGAACCGACACUAUCUGGUGUGCUCUUAAUGAAUUUGGAGCAUGAAGUGGAGUCUGAUCACUCAUUAUCAUAUCAACAGGUAUGCCUGCAUCAUAAUUGUAUGUACAAUGUCAGUUGUUGAGACACAAACUAAGGUAUUAUGUUGGACAAGAGAACACAUGACCUUCUGCAGCUGGGGUGUGUCAUUGCGGGGUGACAGCAGACUGCGCACUGGGCCUGUCCACAAUGUCAAAACAUGUCCAAAAGAAGACUUGAUUAAUACGACUUUACUUGUGAUUCAUGAAAUGUAUGAGAAAAUGGAGUAACCAGGCGACAUGGCCACGGGUGGCUUUGAUAGAGUGUUGGUUAUAUUUAUAAUAGCAGACGUAGCUUUCUUAAAUCCCUUGCCUCCUGUCAUAAUUUUUUAGUAUUGCAUCCCUUUUUACCUCUCCCUUUCCCUCUGUCUCUUUAGUUCUUUUGGAUAUGUUUUUUGACUUGUGAGGCAACGAUAUAUUUUGGAUUUACAAGAUUGAAGUACGUAAGAGUACAUGAUAUAUGUAUUUACCUGAAUUGUCGUUGUUUGUCAGGUCCUGAAAGGGAGUACAUGCCCCACUAUGCUCAAAGGAUGCCAUAUUGUCAACUCAGUUUGUCAUGCAGAUCAUGAUGUACUGUAAGUAUCAAAUUUCACAGUACAAAUUAUAGAUUGUUAGAUUAAAAGAGCAAUUUCCUUUUGUCUUCUGCCUGAUCAUCUAUACUUGCAAAUUCAAAUGAUCUAACCUAUGCGCUGGCAGGUCAGAAAGUAGUCAUAUGUCCUCGAGAUGUUGCGGGCCACACGGGGUGAUGACACCGCAGGUAGGG